GGUUCAGGAAAAGUGCUUCUGAUCUGAGGUGACCAGAGCAGGAAGGCGCGAGAGGAGGCAGGCGUUGCCUCACCGCACAGAGACUAGUCUGAGGCUCGGCGGCGGCGCUCAGGGUGACCCGGGUCCCCACCCCAGUCGUCCUGUCCCGGCUCACCUCUGCCCACAUAGUCCGAUGGCGGCGGUCGUGCUGAGGGACCCUGCUCAGGUUCCUCUGCCUGCGGAAUUAUUUACACACCAUGCAGAGCAGGGCCAUGUGACCUUUGAGGGCGUGGCUGUCUACUUCUCCCGGGAGGCAUGGAACUGCUUGAUGAAGCUCAGAGGUGCCUCUACCACAGUGUGAUGCUGGAGAACUUUUCGCUUAUGGCCUCUCUGGGACUUGCAUCUUCCAGGCCCCUUGAAAUUACCCAACUGGAAGCAUGGUGAGAGUCAUUCAUGCCCUCCCAAAGAGUCAUGACUCCAGCUAUGCCAAGAGCAACUGACGCCCUUGGAAAGACAUUUGCAGACGAGUGUGUUGGGCACCCUGCCUCUCAUAUCUGUGCUGCAUCCCAUCCUUGUGUCCUUUUCUGGGGAGGCCUCCCCCAAUCUUUGAGCCUGCCAGACCCAACACUGCUGCACAGUGGGUCCUUUCCCACCCUGACCUCAG
Long non-coding RNA from Cynocephalus volans (Philippine flying lemur), 643 nucleotides. RefSeq lists it as uncharacterized. The record is from RefSeq and is a predicted model, not a curated record. Lineage: Eukaryota; Metazoa; Chordata; Mammalia; Dermoptera; Cynocephalidae. The transcript is spliced from 5 exons.